RNAcentral lists this transfer RNA (88 nucleotides) under Cordylochernes scorpioides. Its description in RNAcentral is "tRNA-Tyr". It matches the Rfam family "tRNA". From Rfam's summary of the family: Transfer RNA (tRNA) molecules are approximately 80 nucleotides in length. Their secondary structure includes four short double-helical elements and three loops (D, anti-codon, and T loops). The record is from RNAcentral. Lineage: Eukaryota; Metazoa; Arthropoda; Arachnida; Pseudoscorpiones; Chernetidae.
CCCUCGAUAGCUCUGUUGGCAGAGCGGAGGGACUGUAGAUGUUACAACGGUGAUCCUUAGGUCGCUGGUUCAAAUCCGGCUCGAGGGA